Molecule: RNA transcript, 1770 nt
Organism: Papaver somniferum (opium poppy)
Lineage: Eukaryota; Viridiplantae; Streptophyta; Magnoliopsida; Ranunculales; Papaveraceae
Gene name: phospho-N-acetylmuramoyl-pentapeptide-transferase homolog
Exons: 8
Source: RefSeq, a predicted model, not a curated record
AAACCCUAGUGAAACUUCAUCUUCAAUAAUCGACAGCCAAGAAACAUCACAGAAAGCUCUCUAUCAUCUUCAAUCAUCGACUUUUCUUCGUGUUUUUCAUUUCUUUCUCUCUCUUUUAUCAUCAGUUUUAUAUUUUAGGGUUUUCAUCGUCUGUUAAUUUGGUUUAGGAUUUUGAUUUCAUAGAUCUAUACAAGUCUUUCAUCAUCUGUAGGGUUUUAAUUUUUUCUAUUUGCCAUGUAUGCUGAUUUGAAGAUGAUUUGGUAUCAUUGAAGGAAGAGGAAGAUAACUCAUUGACCCAAUUAGGUUUUUUACACCAUACAAAUCGAGACAAAAAGGCUUCAAUAAAAAUCAUGGAUCGUCAAAAUGGGAGCUGUAGCAGCUUCAGGGGGAGGUGGUUCUGUAGGGGGUUGAGUAGAUUCUGUAGCAGAGUCUAUGAAGAUGAAUCUGACGAAUUAAAAUCAGAAAAGUGAAAGAUUAAGAAGAUGAGAUUAGUGGAGAGGUUGUUUGAUUUUACAAGAAGAAGAUGAACAUGAGCAUAAGGAAAAGCAGCUUUAGUCCCCUUUUCAUCCAUGGUCUUGAUUAAGAUGCGUGAGAUUUCUGAGGGGUACCUUGGUUCUACAGUUAAGAACGAUGUUGUUACAGUCCCUGCCUACUUCAAUGAUUCUCAGCGUCAAGCUACAAAGGAUGCUGGAGUCAUUGCUGGUCUUAAUGUUAUGCGUAUCAUCAAUUAGCGUAUUGUUGCUGCCACUGCCUAUGGUCUUGACAAAAAGGCCACCAGUGUUGGAGAAAGGAAUGCUUUUAUCUUCGAUCUAGGAGGUGGUACCUUUGAUGUCACAUAUGUGAUAUUGGUGCAAUACUAGUUAUCUUCCAAUGGGGUUUUGAUGAAUCAGAACUUGCCUGUUGUUAGAUGGGUUGGUGGAGUAGAACUAGAGCUCAUUGCAAUAGCUACAGGUGGAAGGAUUAUGCCAAGGUUCCAUGAAAUGAAAAAUUGGGAAAGGUACUCAUUUUAGUACUACUCUAGUUUGUUCAAUGAAACAAUACUUAGUUUUUACUGCUUAGAUUUUUAUUUGACUUUAACGAAUUUAGGAUGGGUUAGUUAGAGAGAAAUCAUUUGGUACAACUAAAGAUCGAAUGCGCUACAUUGAGCAGUGUGUGAAUUCGAGGGCGGUCACUAUCUUCACUUGUGGUGGUAUAGGGAAUCCAUAUUUAUGGGUGAUACAGGGUCCCUGGCCCUAGGUGGGGCAUUAGCUGCAAUGGAAGCUUGUACAAAAAUGUCCUUUCCCUUGUUCAUUUCACCUGGAGUCUUCGUCAUUGAAGCUUCGUCCCUGAAUAUAAGACUUGUCAAAUCAACCAUUGUGCAUUUCCAGACUCCCCUGAUGAAGCUCUUCGGAUGUAUGAUGAUGCUUUCCCCAUCCUUGAAGAACAUGAAAAGGAGCAAAUCGCAUUUGAUCUAUAUCGUGUUGCUGCCAAUGUUUAUAUACAGCUUAAAAAAUUAGGUACUGCGUAGCUGCUUCUUUCUUGGAAGAAAGAGCUCCUGCAAGAGAAGAGUCCAUGGAUUGAAGAUGCGUAGCUGCUGUCUCUUUGGAUUCCAUUCUCUUCACUGAUUCUGCUUCAAAUGCAGCAGUCUGCGGCAUGAGAAGCCUGCUAUGUGAGUCAUGUUUCUGUGCAUGUUAGUCUGUUACAUGAGAAAACUUAGAAAUAGGUUAGGAACCUAGGAAGUUUUUUAAGUUUCUGUGAACUGCAUUUUGGAACUUAGUGAGUUUCUAUGUA